Molecule: long non-coding RNA, 2378 nt
Organism: Quercus robur (English oak)
Lineage: Eukaryota; Viridiplantae; Streptophyta; Magnoliopsida; Fagales; Fagaceae
Exons: 2
Source: RefSeq, a predicted model, not a curated record
UUGAUUAGGAAUUCAUAACCCUAUAUCAUAUUUUGAUUAGGAAUCCAUAACCCUAACCAAAUUUGAUUAGGAAUCCAUAACCCUAUAUUAUAUUAUAAAUAAUAUUUUUUUUGGGAUUAUUUGUUACAAUGCAACUCACGGCUGAAAAUUUGUAUUUUUCAUUCUCUCUUCUGAAAUUUUUUUGCUCGCUUUAUAAUUCUGAAUUUUUAUUGCUCUCUUUAUAAUUCUGAUUUUCUAUUCAGUUUUUUUGGAUUUAAUUUUGUGAAUUUUUAUCUGGGUUCAUGUGGCUACCGCUUAAAAACUUGAUUUUAGUGUAUAGUUUGUGGAUUUAAAUUCAAAAUUCAUAAGGAAUUUUAAAUUCUAAUUCUUUGAGAUUGUGUAUUUGAAAUUUUUUUAUGAUUUGACAUUUAAAUGGAGUAAAAUAUUCGUGAACCAUUUUUUUUCCUUCACGGGAACUCCAAUAAGCUUGGUUCCCAACUAUAUAAAUUUGACAUGAAACAAAUGUAUUGUAAAGAAAAACUUAUUUCGUGUUUUCCUUUCUUAAUUAUAUAUAUGAAAUGAGGUUCUUAGUGAUCUUGGCAAUUGUAGUGUUAGGCUAAGCUAUUUCAUUUGAGCUGAGCACUAGACAGUGCAGAAUAAAUUCAUAUUUCUCAUGCCUAUUUCAAUUCUUAUGGUCCAUGAAUGCAAUAAUUUUUAUGGAAUACCAAUAACAGUAUACCAUUAUGUUGGGGCCUCUUAUGUGUGCAAUGAAAGUAACACUAUCAAGGAAAAGGCCUUUCCAGUACUCACACCCUGAGAUGAAUAGUCUCCCAUGGAAAACAACGCUCUGGUAGAACUUGGAAGUCUUCUUGAAGACAAAACUGCAAUUCAUAUCACCAAAAAUUUAUGAUUCAUAUGUUAGAUAUUGGGAUUGGUAUUGAUGGUGAGAUAGGUUUAUAUAGUAGAAAACAACAUUUAGAUAGUUUUGGUAAUAGUUGAUAUUAUUGUACAAAUGUUUUUUUUUUUUUUGGCUGCACUAUUGUAACAAUGAUUUACCAUAUUGAUUAUUAGUCUCUGGACUGGUGUCACUUUGGAGCUUUAGGGGCCUCUGUUGCUAUUGCUGUGGACUAGAAGAGUAGUAGAGAAAUUUGAUGGGACUGUGGGAAAUUAUUCAGUUUAUGUAAGUUUAGAUCAAUACAAGUCGGUGUUUCAAGUAGUGCCUAUGGUCCCAAUUCUGAGCAUGAUAGAUAUGUGGGUUUGGUGGAGUCUUGGAAGAGAUUUUGAUAUGAUUCCGUUUGAGAAGUAGAUUUGAUUUUUUUAAUGAUUUAUUUCAUGGUGUUUGUGCAUUAAGAUUAGAGUUUUUUACCCUUAAUAACUUCAACGGAAUCAAAGCUUUUAGAAAGUUUUAUUAUUUUACUUAAAAAGAUGAUUCCCUCUUAAAUUUGAUGGAAGCCAUGAGAUCAAGUUCAUAAAACUCUCUUAAUUUUGAUCAAGUGUGUAUGUCAAUUGUUUAUGAAGUGAAACAACUACUAUUGAUAAUGGUUUCAACAGAUUAAUAUAUUUUUCAUAGUUUGUCAACAGAUUAAUAUUCAUAGAUUUUAUAUUGCCAUGGAGAUCUGCUAGCAAAAUCACAUGGUAACAUACUUACAUAAAAAUUAAAUGAAUAAAAAUGUCAAUGUGUAAAUCUUCUGCAAAACAAUUGAAGAUUUCUUAAAUGAACAUGUAUAAUUAUGUGUGAAAAUGCUACACAUGCGAGGCUGUACUAACACUAGCAUAUAUAUAGUUUGAAUGGGGCUCUCUUGAUUUUCCUUAUCUUAUUGAGGUAAUUGAAAUAUUUGACUUUCUCAUCAUCAAUGCAGAAUUUCAUAGUAAAUUUCUUCUCUUUGGUUAUAUUAGUCCUACCUUUGUAUUGCUUUGUUCUGUUUAUUUUUUUAUUAUUUUUUAAAAUCAUUUAUUUGUUUCUUUUGUUACAAUUUAUAUAGUGCUGAGGUUAAGGUGUACGUGACCAUAUCUGCAUUACAACUAAUUUUACAUCAUGUUUUCCUGGCUUACAGAGGGCUGAGACCUUGAAAAUUGCUAAAUUCCCAAUACUAGGCUGCAUCAGGAAUAGCAAAGUUGGGGUCAAAGAUACAACCUUUUCAUCAAGCAACUUAUCAAGUGAACAAGAUGGUGAUUCUACAAAGUUUCAAAAAGUUGAUGUUCAAAGCGAUGAGCAACUCACACCAACUUAUCCCAAAAGGACAUAUUCAAUGACUACUACAAAGCAACAAAGGAAGAAGAUACAAAAAAACACAUUAAAAUUGUCUUUCAAUUUAUUUGAAAUAUUGAUUAAGUAGUUCUUUAAAUUUGGGUUUCAUUCAUUUAAUGGAUAAUUGAAGAUGCAAAGGAUUUGAUUUCUA